RNAcentral lists this ribosomal RNA (301 nucleotides) under uncultured bacterium. RNAcentral's name for it is "partial 16S ribosomal RNA". It matches the Rfam family "Bacterial small subunit ribosomal RNA", at positions 509 to 807 of the family's 1533-position model. The record is from RNAcentral.
CAGUCGCCACGGGAAUACGAAGGGGGCUAGCGUUGCUCGGAAUUACUGGGCGUAAAGGGCGCGUAGGCGGACAGUUCAGUCGGGGGUGAAAGCCCGGGGCUCAACCUCGGAAUUGCCUUCGAUACUGGCUGUCUUGAGUAUGAGAGAGGUGUGUGGAACUCCGAGUGUAGAGGUGAAAUUCGUAGAUAUUCGGAAGAACACCAGUGGCGAAGGCGACACACUGGCUCAUUACUGACGCUGAGGCGCGAAAGCGUGGGGAGCAAACAGGAUUAGAUACCCCCGUAGUCCCUGUCUCUUAUAC